GCCUCCUCCUAAAAAGCCUGAAGUGCCACCCACAAAAGUCCCAGAGGUGCCAAAGGCAGCUGUCCCAGAAAAGAAGGUGCCUGAAGCUAUUCCUCCCAAACCGGAAAGUCCUCCCCCUGAAGUGCCUGAAGUGCUGCCACCGAAGGAAGUGGUCCCAGAAAAGAAAGUACCGGUGCCUCCUGCCAAAAAGCCAGAAGCUCCACCUCCUAAAGUGCCUGAGGCUCCCAAAGAAGUUGUUCCUGAAAAGAAAGUGCCAGUGCCUCCUCCUAAAAAGCCUGAAGUGCCACCCACAAAAGUCCCAGAGGUGCCAAAGGCAGCUGUCCCAGAAAAGAAGGUGCCUGAAGCUAUUCCUCCCAAACCGGAAAGUCCUCCCCCUGAAGUGCCUGAAGUGCUGCCACCGAAGGAAGUGGUCCCAGAAAAGAAAGUACCGGUGCCUCCUGCCAAAAAGCCAGAAGCUCCACCUCCUAAAGUACCAGAGGCUCCCAAAGAGGUUGUUCCUGAAAAGAAAGUGCCCUCGGCUCCUCCUAAAAAGCCUGAAGUCCCACCUGUUAAAGUGCCAGAGGCUCCGAAAGAAGUUGUUCCUGAAAAGAAAGUGCCAGCGGCUCCUCCUAAAAAGCCUGAAGUCACACCUGUUAAAGUGCCUGAGGCUCCCAAAGAAGUUGUUCCUGAAAAGAAAGUGCCAGUGCCUCCUCCUAAAAAGCCUGAAGUGCCACCCACAAAAGUCCCAGAGGUGCCAAAGGUAGCUGUCCCAGAAAAGAAGGUGCCUGAAGCUAUUCCUCCCAAACCGGAAAGUCCUCCCCCUGAAGUGUUCGAGGAGCCUGAGGAAGUUGCCCUAGAAGAGCCUCCUGCUGAAGUUGUGGAAGAGCCAGAGCCAGCGGCGCCUCCACAAGUGACCGUACCACCUAAGAAACCUGUCCCAGAAAAGAAAGCACCUGCUGUCGUU
This 943-nucleotide long non-coding RNA is filed under the name Homo sapiens (human). RNAcentral describes it as "HSALNT0044051". Lineage: Eukaryota; Metazoa; Chordata; Mammalia; Primates; Hominidae. The record is from RNAcentral.